This 1541-nucleotide ribosomal RNA is filed under the name Escherichia coli. RNAcentral's name for it is "bacterial SSU rRNA". It matches the Rfam family "Bacterial small subunit ribosomal RNA". Lineage: Bacteria; Pseudomonadati; Pseudomonadota; Gammaproteobacteria; Enterobacterales; Enterobacteriaceae. The record is from RNAcentral.
AAAUUGAAGAGUUUGAUCAUGGCUCAGAUUGAACGCUGGCGGCAGGCCUAACACAUGCAAGUCGAACGGUAACAGGAAGCAGCUUGCUGCUUCGCUGACGAGUGGCGGACGGGUGAGUAAUGUCUGGGAAACUGCCUGAUGGAGGGGGAUAACUACUGGAAACGGUAGCUAAUACCGCAUAACGUCGCAAGACCAAAGAGGGGGACCUUCGGGCCUCUUGCCAUCGGAUGUGCCCAGAUGGGAUUAGCUUGUUGGUGGGGUAACGGCUCACCAAGGCGACGAUCCCUAGCUGGUCUGAGAGGAUGACCAGCCACACUGGAACUGAGACACGGUCCAGACUCCUACGGGAGGCAGCAGUGGGGAAUAUUGCACAAUGGGCGCAAGCCUGAUGCAGCCAUGCCGCGUGUAUGAAGAAGGCCUUCGGGUUGUAAAGUACUUUCAGCGGGGAGGAAGGGAGUAAAGUUAAUACCUUUGCUCAUUGACGUUACCCGCAGAAGAAGCACCGGCUAACUCCGUGCCAGCAGCCGCGGUAAUACGGAGGGUGCAAGCGUUAAUCGGAAUUACUGGGCGUAAAGCGCACGCAGGCGGUUUGUUAAGUCAGAUGUGAAAUCCCCGGGCUCAACCUGGGAACUGCAUCUGAUACUGGCAAGCUUGAGUCUCGUAGAGGGGGUAGAAUUCCAGGUGUAGCGGUGAAAUGCGUAGAGAUCUGGAGGAAUACCGGUGGCGAAGGCGGCCCCCUGGACGAAGACUGACGCUCAGGUGCGAAAGCGUGGGGAGCAAACAGGAUUAGAUACCCUGGUAGUCCACGCCGUAAACGAUGUCGACUUGGAGGUUGUGCCCUUGAGGCGUGGCUUCCGGAGCUAACGCGUUAAGUCGACCGCCUGGGGAGUACGGCCGCAAGGUUAAAACUCAAAUGAAUUGACGGGGGCCCGCACAAGCGGUGGAGCAUGUGGUUUAAUUCGAUGCAACGCGAAGAACCUUACCUGGUCUUGACAUCCACGGAAGUUUUCAGAGAUGAGAAUGUGCCUUCGGGAACCGUGAGACAGGUGCUGCAUGGCUGUCGUCAGCUCGUGUUGUGAAAUGUUGGGUUAAGUCCCGCAACGAGCGCAACCCUUAUCCUUUGUUGCCAGCGGUCCGGCCGGGAACUCAAAGGAGACUGCCAGUGAUAAACUGGAGGAAGGUGGGGAUGACGUCAAGUCAUCAUGGCCCUUACGACCAGGGCUACACACGUGCUACAAUGGCGCAUACAAAGAGAAGCGACCUCGCGAGAGCAAGCGGACCUCAUAAAGUGCGUCGUAGUCCGGAUUGGAGUCUGCAACUCGACUCCAUGAAGUCGGAAUCGCUAGUAAUCGUGGAUCAGAAUGCCACGGUGAAUACGUUCCCGGGCCUUGUACACACCGCCCGUCACACCAUGGGAGUGGGUUGCAAAAGAAGUAGGUAGCUUAACCUUCGGGAGGGCGCUUACCACUUUGUGAUUCAUGACUGGGGUGAAGUCGUAACAAGGUAACCGUAGGGGAACCUGCGGUUGGAUCACCUCCUUA